GGAAGUGCAGCCCGCAGGGCUUCCGGUCGCGCCGGGGCCGCUGGGCUCUGAGGCGCUGGGCUGCCCGCCCGCCAGCAGCGACGGGCUGGGCACCGAGUCGCGCGAGGGGCUGCGGCCCCAAGCUCGGGAGCGCAGCCUCCAGCUUCUUCCCAAGGGCGGUCUCGCCCUUCGGCCCCUCGGCCCCUCGGCCCCGCAGUAGAGCGGCCUCCGGCUUCUCCCCAGGGGCGACCUCGGGCGCUCCUGACGGCGGCCCUGCUCCUCUGUCACCGGGGAGCCGCAGUGGGGUCCCUGGCCCCUUGGCCGUGGGUUCCAGGGCGCUGCUGCAAGCACAGGGAGCCGAGAGAAAACCAGGGCUGGACCGCAGUUAAGGCGCUGAAAGCGGGUUCCGCCCAGGGCGCUUCACAGAGCGCGCAGGAGACCCCGGUGUGGAGCCGGGCUCACCCCGCACACGGGUGGGCGGAAAAGAAAGGCGCACCCCGAAAGCUGAGCCUUACGUUUCGUGUGGCACACCAAGCUGAGGACCCGAGCCUGGGGCCCAGCAUCUAACUGGGAGCCCGCUCCGUAGAGGAAGAGGACAGAAAGCCAGCGAGCUGCACGUCACGGGGCCUCGAUAUGUGUUGGUCCUACUGGACCACAGUCAGGUUGGCGCGUAAGGUGCGCACAGGUCAGGAUGAAGUGGAAAGAAACGCAAGCCUGCCUGGGCCCUGGCACGAACUUGCUGAUGACCUCGGCAAUUCCCUUCCCCUCUCUGGGCCUCUGUUUCCCCAUCUGUGAAAUGGGCCUCCAGGUGCCUCUGAUCCAGUCCUCUGGGCUCCUGCCCUGGGUUGGGGAUGGUGCCACAGAGAAAGAGGGGAAGGCCUGGGGGAGGCAGCUGGAGGUGGUUUUGUCUGUGCAGGAGGAAGUGGCGUGGGCUGGGAGGGCAAAGGCAGACCCUCCCUUUCUGAAGGCCCGUUCUGGGGCUGGGGACCGGACUGGGGGCUUGGACCACAGGGAGGUUCUAAGAAGGCAGUUUGGGCCCAGCACGGGGGCUCUCUGACCACGAGGCCUUCUGUGGGAGGUGGCGGGCGCCCUGCUUGGGCGGUGUUGAGACCAGGUGGUCCCCCCGGGAGGACCGUACUGGGGGCUGACUCAGAGUUCUGAAGGCCCUUCCAAGUCCAGGUGUCUGCCGUCCUCAUGACCACAGGGGGACGCGGCUCAGUCCUGUCCGUAUCUCAGGCAAAACUCACAGCGCACUGAGACCAGACCGUGCCAAGGGCUGCCAGGAACUGGGAGCAAUGGAACGUCCCUGUAUUACUGCCAGGAAUGCUGAGCAGUGCAGGCACUUUGAAAAGCAGCUUAGCUGCUCCUUAUAAAGGUGACCACACACCUGCCGUCCGACUCAGUCGUCCCAUCCCUAGGGGUUUGGAAUGAACAAGAAGUCUGUUCACACUGGAACCUGUGCGGGAAGGUUUCUAGCGGCGUUCUUCAUAGAGCCCCCAAACCGAAUUCAACCCAGAUGUUCUCAGCAGGUGAAUGGGCGAGCAGCCUGGGGUACAUCUGCGUGGUGGAACACUUCUCUGUGAUAAAAAGGAAGGGGUGACCUGUGCACGUGCCGGCGCGGGCCCGUCUCAGAACCAGCACAGCCGCUGCAGGAGGACAAGCACGCAGGGCGGCUGCUCUGUGAGAUGCUCCCAUGAUGCUCUGGGAGAGGCAAGGUUACGGACCAGGGGUUGCAGGGUGGGGGUGGGGAGCAGGCCGGAGUACAGCCGGGGGACCCCGGGGGAGGUGGGUCUGCUGUAUCUUGGCUGUGACGGUGGUUACUGGAUGGAGCCUUUGUCGACACUUGGAACUGUACGUCCUGGGAGAACUCUAAGGUGUGUAGGAGAAGAACGAAUAACAGACAAUAAAAGUGGCAGAAAUGGUAGAAAGCCCCACCCCUGACCCAGAGCAGGGGCUUACUUUAGGUGAAGGCCCAUCGCCCCCGUUAGGAUGGCCGAUGUGAGUUCGUAUCACUCUGUGCGCGUGUACAGAAGCAAGUGCGGGCACGGAUGUGGAGGACGUGGAGCCCCGUGCGCUGCUCCCGGGAAUGUAAAACGGUGCAGCUGCUGUUUCUGCGUCCACCCGCGGGCAUUGAAAGCAGAGGCGCAAAGAGAUGUGAGCGUGUGCGCCACAGUCACAACAGCGUGACUCACUGAAGCCAAACGUGGGAGCAACUCGAUGCCCAUUAAGGGAUGAAUGGAAGUGCCGUGUGGGACAUCCACGCCGUGGGACAUCCUUCAGCCUUAGCGAGGAAGGAGAUCUUGACACCUGCUGCAACGUGGGUGACCUUUUAGAAUAGUGUGCUCAGUGAAACGUGCCUGCGUAGGUGCUGAGGGGGUUCCAGGGGCCCUGUCCUGUAGCCCAAAGGGGAGGCAGACCUGGAACCAGGAAUGGCAGGUAUGGUGACCACCUUGGGGGGAGCAGUGUGGGCCUGGUGGGGGCCAAGUACCGAGGCUCUUUGUGCCUGGGUGCUGCCAAGCCCUUCUCAGGAAGCUGCAGCUUAGCCAAGUCCCACGUGAUGCUUGGGGAGCUGGGCAGGUGAGGAUGGAACGUGUGUGGAGCUUGGAGAUCUUGGAUUCAGUUUUUUACAUCUAGGCCCAGGUAACCUGAGUCUUAUUUCUUUUCUUCUUUCCUCAAAUGCUGUGGUGGUGGUGUUGUUUAGAACAGUGAUUUGUUCACACCCUGAAUAUCCCAGGAGGAGAGGGGUCGAGUGUGAAGGAGCCUCUGUCUACAGCAGAUGCCGCCAGUGUCCUGCCCAGGUGCCCUUGCCUCAGCCCCGCAGUGCGCACGGAUCUGCUUGCCACUGCCUGGGCCGGCGUGCCACGGCUUGGGAUUGUCCCUGAAAGCUCUCAAGUCACUCAUCCGUCCAUCCAUUCUUUCUUCCAUCUGUCCAUCCAUCUCUUACUCUGUCCUUCCAUCCAUCUUUCCUCCUGUUCUUCCUUCCGCCCUUCCUUCUGUCCUUCCUUCCAUCCGUCCUUCCUUCCAUCCUUCCCUCUGUCCUUCCUCCCUUGCAUCCUUCCUUCCUUCCUUCCUUCUUCCCGUCCAUCCUUCCGUCUGUCUGUCCUUCCAUCCAUCCAUCCUUCCUUCUGUCCUUCCAUCCAUCCUUCUUUCCUCCUGUUCUUCCUUCCGCCCUUCUUUCUGUCCUUCCUUCCAUCCUUCCCUCCGUCCUUCCUCCCUUGCAUCCUUCCUUCCAUCCUUCUUUCCUUCCUUCCGUCCAUCCUUCCUUCCUCCCGUCCAUCCUUCCGUCUGUCUGUCCUUCCUUCCUCGCAUCCUUCCUUCCGCCCUUCCUCCCGUCUUUCCUUCCAUCCGUCCGUCCUUCCUUCUUCCUUCCUCCUGUCCUUCCUUCCAUCCUUCCCUCCGUCCUUCCUCCCUUGCAUCCUUCCUUCCUUCCAUCCUUCUUUCCUUUCUUCCGUCCAUCCUUCCUUCCUCCCGUCCAUCCUUCCAUCUGUCUGUCCUUCCUUCCUUGCAUCCUUCCUUCCGUCCUCCCUUCCAUGCGUCCAUCCUUCCUUCUGUCCAUCCAUCCAUCCAUCCAUCCAUUUUUCCAUCUCCUUCCUUCCACCCACCCGUCUCUACAUCGUUAUCCAUACCUUCAUUCUUCCAUCCACCCAGGGGUGAGAUGUGUGCUUGGUUAUUCACUCAAUAAACAUCGUCUGCGCGGAGCUGAUCUCAAGGCCGUCUGGAUGUCCGCCCCUCACUACAGAGGUUAAGCUGCACCUGGGGUUCUCAGAAAUCCGCUCGCUACCUUGCAACUUGCCAGCUUCUCAAAUGUCUCGUCCUCCCCUGCCUCUCGCUUCUGGAGGAGGCAUGUGGCCACGUGGCGGGAAGGAUGGCGGCUUCCCGGCGCCGUCUGUAGGACUCGGCUGGGAACGGCGGGCUCCGGCCACGCUCUGGGCUGGAAGGAAGGCAGCGUGGUCUGUCUGUCUGCCCAUCCUCUGCAGGCACCGUGGACUAGAAAGGUUCGUCAGGUUUGACCAACAUUUUCCAGCCCCUCCCCGGUGCCAGGCCCUCCCCAUGUGCCCUGGUGGUCUGAUCUUGUUGGGGACUGAGGCUGCACACCCCUGUGGACCCCAUUUCGUCCCCAGAGAACCAAGGCUUGAGAAGGCAUGUGGCCGGCCCUGGGUCUCCUGGGUGGUAAUGAGCGGGAGCGUUAGAACCCAGGCCUCUGCGAGUCCCGUUUGGUUGGGAGGAGGAGACGCGGGGAUGGGGAGCAGGGCACAGAGUGCCCUGUGCCCCUGGGAUGGCGGCCCAGCAGCCGCUCGGCGCAGGCAAAGCAGGAGGUAGGGAGGGACGCAGGGCGCAGUGAGCCGCUCCGUGUCCGGGCACAGGGGACAGGAGCACCAGGCUGGCAGCACGUCUGAGCCCCUGGCCUGGGGUGGCUCUCCUGGCCUGGCAGAGGCUGCGCAGCGAGGUCGCCAGGAGAGGGGCCCAGUCUCCUUGCCAGGCCGGCUGCCAGCCCUCCAGAGGCCUGGACAGCAGGGCCUCUCCUGAGUGGUCACCGACCCCGAGCCCAGAAGCACUUCCCUUUACUCCCCUGGGGACCCGCCUUCCUGACAGGGACCAGAGCCCCCCAAAGAGAGCGGCCUGAGCCCCAGGCCAGGAGUGCUCUCUGGUCCCUCCUCCCUCCCUCCCCUCCUCCCUCCCUCCAGCAGCCAUGGUCCUUGAGGACAGCAGCACAGGUAGGGAGCCGUGCUGGGCUCGGGGAUCCAGCGGUGACGAGACCACAAGUGCCUCCGCUGAGCAGGAGCGAGAACAAACGAGGAACAGCAGGUGUGCACUCGCGCGUGCGGAGGGCUGAGCCUCGUGGGGGCGCGUGCGGAGGGCUGAGCCUCGUGGGGGCGUAGCCAGGGCACUGGCUUGGGUUGGGGGCCCCAAGACGUCUCUGCGAGCUGGGGCAGGG
This is a non-coding RNA of Sus scrofa (pig), 4915 nucleotides long. The record is from RefSeq and is a predicted model, not a curated record. Lineage: Eukaryota; Metazoa; Chordata; Mammalia; Artiodactyla; Suidae.